UACGUAGGGUGCGAGCGUUAAUCGGAAUUACUGGGCGUAAAGCGUGCGUAGGUGGUUCGUUAAGUCUGAUGUGAAAGCCCUGGGCUCAACCUGGGAAUGGCAUUGGAAACUGGCGACCUAGAGUGCGGUAGAGGGUAGUGGAAUUCCCGGUGUAGCAGUGGAAUGCGUAGAGAUCGGGAGGAACAUCCGUGGCGAAGGCGACUACCUGGACCAGCACUGACACUGAGGCACGAAAGCGUGGGGAGCAAACAGG
RNAcentral lists this ribosomal RNA (253 nucleotides) under uncultured bacterium. RNAcentral's name for it is "partial 16S ribosomal RNA". It matches the Rfam family "Bacterial small subunit ribosomal RNA", at positions 524 to 776 of the family's 1533-position model. The record is from RNAcentral.